This 648-nucleotide ribosomal RNA is filed under the name bacterium 22C1. RNAcentral describes it as "bacterial SSU rRNA". It matches the Rfam family "Bacterial small subunit ribosomal RNA", at positions 59 to 753 of the family's 1533-position model. The record is from RNAcentral.
CAGUCGAACGGAUCCUUCGGGAUUAGUGGCAGACGGGUGAGUAACGCGUGGGAAGCUACCUUGUGGUAGGGGACAACAGUUGGAAACGACUGCUAAUACCCUAUGAGCCCUAUGGGGGAAAGAUUUAUCGCCAUGAGAUGUGCCCGCGUUAGAUUAGCUAGUUGGUAAGGUAAUGGCUUACCAAGGCGACGAUCUAUAGCUGGUCUGAGAGGAUGAUCAGCCACACUGGGACUGAGACACGGCCCAGACUCCUACGGGAGGCAGCAGUGGGGAAUAUUGGACAAUGGGGGCAACCCUGAUCCAGCCAUGCCGCGUGUGUGAUGACGGCCUUAGGGUUGUAAAGCACUUUCAGCAGUGAAGAUAAUGACAUUAACUGCAGAAGAAGCCCCGGCUAACUUCGUGCCAGCAGCCGCGGUAAUACGAAGGGGGCUAGCGUUGUUCGGAAUCACUGGGCGUAAAGAGUACGUAGGCGGACUGAUAAGUUAGGGGUGAAAUCCCAAGGCUCAACCUUGGAACUGCCUUUGAUACUGUCAGUCUUGAGAUCGAGAGAGGUGAGUGGAACUCCGAGUGUAGAGGUGAAAUUCGUAGAUAUUCGGAAGAACACCAGUGGCGAAGGCGGCUCACUGGCUCGAUACUGACGCUGAGGUA